UACGUAGGGUGCGAGCGUUAAUCGGAAUUACUGGGCGUAAAGCGUGCGCAGGCGGUCUGUUAAGACCGAUGUGAAAUCCCCGGGCUUAACCUGGGAACUGCAUUGGUGACUGGCAGGCUUUGAGUGUGGCAGAGGGAGGUAGAAUUCCACGUGUAGCAGUGAAAUGCGUAGAGAUGUGGAGGAAUACCGAUGGCGUAGGCAGCCUCCUGGGCCAACACUGACGCUCAUGCACGAAAGCGUGGGGAGCAAACAGG
Molecule: ribosomal RNA, 254 nt
Filed under: uncultured bacterium
Lineage: Bacteria
Description: partial 16S ribosomal RNA
Rfam family: Bacterial small subunit ribosomal RNA
Source: RNAcentral